CCAAUAGCGUAUAUUAAAGUUGUUGCAGUUAAAAAGCUCGUAGUUGAAUUUCGGGGUCAGCAAGUUGGUCGUGCCACCGGUAUGUACUGGCUUUGCUGAUUCCUCCUUCUUGUAGAACCGUAAUGCCAUUCAGUUGGUGUUGCGGGGAAACAGGACUGUUACUUUGAAAAAAUUAGAGUGUUUAAAGCAGGCUAACGCCUGAAUACAUUAGCAUGGAAUAAUGAAAUAGGACGAGCGAUCCUAUUUUGUUGGUUUCUAGGAUUGACGUAAUGAUUAAUAGGGAUAGUUGGGGGCAUUAGUAUUCAAUUGUCAGAGGUGAAAUUCUUGGAUUUAUUGAAGACUGACUACUGCGAAAGCAUUUGCCAAGGAUGUUUUCAUUAAUCAAGAACGAAAGUUAGGGGAUCGAAGACGAUCAGAUACCGUCGUAGUCUUAACCAUAAACUAUGCCGACUAGGGAUCGGAUGAUGUUAAUUUUUUAAUGACUCAUUCGGCGCCUUACG
RNAcentral lists this ribosomal RNA (500 nucleotides) under uncultured Glomeromycotina. Its description in RNAcentral is "partial small subunit ribosomal RNA". It matches the Rfam family "Eukaryotic small subunit ribosomal RNA", at positions 591 to 1092 of the family's 1831-position model. Lineage: Eukaryota; Fungi; Glomeromycota. The record is from RNAcentral.